This 477-nucleotide ribosomal RNA is filed under the name uncultured bacterium. RNAcentral's name for it is "partial 16S ribosomal RNA". It matches the Rfam family "Bacterial small subunit ribosomal RNA", at positions 28 to 507 of the family's 1533-position model. The record is from RNAcentral.
GACGAACGCUGGCGGCGUGCUUAACACAUGCAAGUCGAACGGUGAAGCGCCUUCCUUUUUGGUGGGUGUGGAUGAGUGGCGAACGGGUGAGUAACACGUGAGUAACCUGCCCCCUUCUUCUGGAUAACCGCAUGAAAGUGUGGCUAAUACGGGAUAUUCUGGGUCUGUCGCAUGAUGGGUCUGGGAAAGAUAUUGUUGCGGUGGGGGAUGGGCUCGCGGCCUAUCAGCUUGUUGGUGGGGUAGUGGCCUACCAAGGCUUUGACGGGUAGCCGGCCUGAGAGGGUGACCGGCCACAGUGGGACUGAGAUACGGCCGAGACUGCGGGGGGAGGCAGCAGUGGGGAGAAGUGCACAAUGGGCGGAGGCCGGAUGGGGCGAGGCGGCGUGGGGGGUGACGGCCUUCGGGUUGUAAACCGCUUGCGCCUGUGUUGGGGGGUGGGUGACGGGAAUGGGUAAAGAAGCACCGGCUAAAUACGGG